Molecule: ribosomal RNA, 2216 nt
Filed under: human metagenome
Description: bacterial LSU rRNA
Rfam family: Bacterial large subunit ribosomal RNA
Source: RNAcentral
ACCGUGAGGGAAUGGUGAAAAGUACCCCGGGAGGGGAGUGAAAUAGUACCUGAAACCGUGUGCCUGUAAGCCGUCAGAGCCUUGUGGGGUGAUGGCGUGCCUUUUGAAGAAUGAGCCUGCGAGUUAGUGAUACGUGGCGUGCUUAACCCGUGUGGGGUAUGCGUAGCGAAAGCGAGUCUGAAAUAUGGCGUUUGUCGCGUGUUCUGGACCCGAAGCGGGGUGAUCUACCCAUGGCCAGGUUGAAGCAAGGGUAAGACUUUGUGGAGGACCGAACCCACCAGGGUUGAAAACCUGGGGGAUGAGCUGUGGGUAGGGGUGAAAGGCCAAUCAAACUCCGUGAUAGCUGGUUCUCCCCGAAAUGCAUUUAGGUGCAGCGUUGCGUGGUCCCUGGUGGAGGUAGAGCUACUGGAUGGCCGAUGGGCCCUGUGGGUUACUGACGUCAGCCAAACUCCGAAUGCCAUUAGGUGUAGCGUGGCAGUGAGACUGCGGGGGAUAAGCUUCGUAGUCGAGAGGGAAACAGCCCAGAUCAUCAGCUAAGGCCCCUAAGCGUGCGCUAAGUGGGAAAGGAUGUGGAGUCGCGGUGACAACCAGGAGGUUGGCUUAGAAGCAGCCAUCCUUGAAAGAGUGCGUAAUAGCUCACUGGUCAAGUGGUUCUGCGCCGACAAUGUAGCGGGGCUCAAGCGUACCGCCGAAGCUGUGGCAGCAACACGUGUGGCUGGCGCCAGUUUAUUGGUUGUUGGUGUGUUGUUGGGUAGGGGAGCGUCCUGCAUGAGGUGAAGCCUGGAGGUGACUUCUGGUGGAUUGUGUGGGAGUGAGAAUGCAGGCAUGAGUAACGAAUCUGCGGUGAGAAUCCGCAGCGCCGAUUGACUAAGGGUUCCAGGGCUAGGUUUAUCCGCCCUGGGUUAGUCGGGUCCUAAGGCGAGGCCGACAGGCGUAGUCGAUGGACAACCAGUUGAUAUUCUGGUACCAGGUUGUGACCGCCCAUGCUGAGGUCAUUGUGCUAACCAAUCUGCCCGCCGCGCUCUGGUCCUUCGGGAUUGGGGUUGUGUGUGGGUCUUGGGGUCCCGGUGAUGGUAGGCAAGCGUGUUAACAGGGGUGACGCAGACAGGUAACUGCAGUGCGCCGAUGGUUGUGCGUAUUUAAGGUUGUGGCCCGCCCUUUAGGUAAAUCCGGGGGGCACUAGGGUGAGGACUGAUGAGGGACACACGUGUGUGUGGACUUGUGGUGAUCCUAUGCUGCCGAGAAAAGCCUCGACGUGAGGGCAUGACCUGCCCGUACCCUAAACCGACUCAGGUGGUCAGGUAGAGUAUACCGAGGCGUUCGAGUGAAUCGUGGUUAAGGAACUCGGCAAAAUUCCUCCGUAACUUCGGGAUAAGGAGGACCCCGUGACUUGCUCCCACCAUGCGUGGGUGUUGGGUUGUGGGGUCGCAGAGAAUAGGGAGAAGCGACUGUUUAUCAAAAACACAGGUGCGUGCGAAGCCGUAAGGCGAUGUAUACGCACUGACGCCUGCCCGGUGCUGGAAGGUUAAGAGGAACCGUUAACAUUCUUUGUGGGUGUGAAGCGGUGAAUUUAAGCCCCAGUAAACGGCGGUGGUAACUAUAACCAUCCUAAGGUAGCGAAAUUCCUUGUCGGGUAAGUUCCGACCUGCACGAAUGGCGUAACGACUUCUCCGCUGUCUCAACCGCGAACUCGGUGAAAUUGCAGUACGAGUAAAGAUGCUCGUUUCGCGCAGAAGGACGGAAAGACCCCGGGACCUUUACUAUAGCUUGGUAUUGGUGUUCGCUUGGACUUGUGUAGGAUAGGUGGGAGACUGUGAAGCUGCCGCGCCAGCGGUGGUGGAGUCGUCGUUGAAAUACCAUUCUGGUUUAAGCGGUCACCUUAACCUUGGCCCGUGAUCCGGGUUGGGGACAGUGCCUGGUGGGUAGUUUAACUGGGGCGGUUGCCUCCUAAAAUGUAACGGAGGCGCUCAAAGGUUCCCUCAGCCUGGUUGGUAAUCAGGUGGCGAGUGCAAGUGUACAAGGGAGCUUGACUGUGAGACCGACGGGUCGAGCAGGUGCGAAAGCAGGAACUAGUGAUCCGGCCAUGGCACGUGGGUGCGUGGUCGCUCAACGGAUAAAAGGUACCCCGGGGAUAACAGGCUGAUCUUGCCCAAGAGUCCAUAUCGACGGCAUGGUUUGGCACCUCGAUGUCGGCUCGUCGCAUCCUGGGGCUGGAG